AUUUUUAUUAUUUUCGGAUGCAUUAAAUUUAAUGCGAAUGCAUUAAUUUAUAUAGCAGAUGCAUUGAUUUUAAUGGUUUGUUCUCACGAUAAGUGUGGUUCUCAUUAUAACCACACCCUAUAUAUGUGUAUAUAUAUAUAUAUAAAGGUUUGGUAUUAUUUUUUUUUUUUGAGGAAAAGGUUUGGUAUUUUUAGUACUCUGUAGUCUGUACAUUUCGGUUCUUAUUUUGGAAAAAAAUAAUUUGCUUAUUUUGGCUAAAGCUAUGGUCAGACUAUUUAUUGGAUCGUCCGUCAUCUAAAUGAUAGUAAUAUAUAUACAGCACCGUCCAAUUAAUUCUACCGCAUUUGACCGAAAAUCUUAGAUUUGGAGGCUUUUUUGACAAGUUUUUUCACAAAUAAAUUUAAAAUUAG
Molecule: long non-coding RNA, 410 nt
Filed under: Salvia miltiorrhiza (redroot sage)
Lineage: Eukaryota; Viridiplantae; Streptophyta; Magnoliopsida; Lamiales; Lamiaceae
Description: long non-coding RNA (SMIL_LNC002796)
Source: RNAcentral